GAUGAACGCUGGCGGCGUGCCUAAUACAUGCAAGUCGAGCGGACGGACGAUAAGCUUUCUUCUUUGAGGGUAGCGGCUGACGGGUGAGUAACACGUAGAUAACCUACCUAUAAUACUGGGAUAACUUCGUGAAACCGGUUCUAAUACCGGAUAAUAUGUUGAACCGCAUGGUUCGAAAGUUAAAGACGGUCUUGCUGUCUCUUAUAGAUGGUUUCGCGCUGCAUUAGCUAGUUGGUAAGGUAACGGCCUACCAAGGCAACGAUGCAUAGCCGACCUGAUAGGGUGAUCAGCCACACUGGAACUGAGACACGGUCCAGACUCCUACGGGAGGCAGCAGUAGGGAAUAUUCCGCAAUGGGCGCAAGCCUGACGGAGCCACGCCGCGUGAGUGAUGAAGGUCUUCGGAUCGUAAAACUCUGUUAUUAGGGAAGAAAAUAUGUAUAAGUAAAUGUGCACAUCUUGACGGUACCUAAUCAGAAAGCAACGGCUAACUACGUG
Molecule: ribosomal RNA, 497 nt
Filed under: uncultured bacterium
Lineage: Bacteria
Description: partial 16S ribosomal RNA
Rfam family: Bacterial small subunit ribosomal RNA
Source: RNAcentral